This 427-nucleotide ribosomal RNA is filed under the name uncultured bacterium. RNAcentral's name for it is "bacterial SSU rRNA". It matches the Rfam family "Bacterial small subunit ribosomal RNA", at positions 355 to 774 of the family's 1533-position model. The record is from RNAcentral.
UGGGGAAUAUUGGACAAUGGGCGAAAGCCUGAUCCAGCCAUGCCGCGUGUGUGAAGAAGGUCUUCGGAUUGUAAAGCACUUUAAGUUGGGAGGAAGGGUUGUAGAUUAAUACUCUGCAAUUUUGACGUUACCGACAGAAUAAGCACCGGCUAACUCUGUGCCAGCAGCCGCGGUAAUACAGAGGGUGCAAGCGUUAAUCGGAAUUACUGGGCGUAAAGCGCGCGUAGGUGGUGAGUUAAGUUGGAUGUGAAAUCCCCGGGCUCAACCUGGGAACUGCAUUCAAAACUGACUGACUCGAGUGUGGUAGAGAGUCGUGGAAUUUCCUGCGUGGCGGUGAAAUGGGUAGAUAUAGGAAGGGACACCCGUAGCGAGGGCGACCACCUGGACUGAUACUGACACUGAGGUGCGAAAGCGUGGGGAGCGAACA